This 301-nucleotide ribosomal RNA is filed under the name uncultured bacterium. RNAcentral's name for it is "partial 16S ribosomal RNA". It matches the Rfam family "Bacterial small subunit ribosomal RNA", at positions 509 to 808 of the family's 1533-position model. The record is from RNAcentral.
CAGCCGCCGCGGGAAUACGUAGGGGGCAAGCGUUAUCCGGAUUCAUUGGGCGUAAAGCGCUCGUAGGCGGUCUGUUAGGUCGGGAGUUAAAUCCGGAGGCUCAACCUCCGUUCGCUCCCGAUACCGGCAGACUUGAGUUUGGUAGGGGAAGGUGGAAUUCCUAGUGUAGCGGUGGAAUGCGCAGAUAUUAGGAAGAACACCAGUGGCGAAGGCGGCCUUCUGGGCCAUAACUGACGCUGAGGAGCGAAAGCUAGGGGAGCAAACAGGAUUAGAUACCCCAGUAGUCCCUGUCUCUUAUACA